UACGUAGGGUGCGUGCGUUAAUCGGAAUUACUGGGCGUAAAGCGUGCGCAGGCGGUUUGUUGUGUCGGCGGUGAAAGCCCCGGGCUCAACCUGGGAAUGGCCGUUGAAACUGGCGAACUGGAGUGUGGCAGAGGGGGGUGGAAUUCCGCGUGUAGCAGUGAAAUGCGUAGAGAUGCGGAGGAACACCGAUGGCGAAGGCAGCCCCCUGGGCUGACACUGACGCUCAGGCACGAAAGCGUGGGGAGCAAACAGG
RNAcentral lists this ribosomal RNA (253 nucleotides) under uncultured bacterium. RNAcentral describes it as "partial 16S ribosomal RNA". It matches the Rfam family "Bacterial small subunit ribosomal RNA", at positions 524 to 776 of the family's 1533-position model. The record is from RNAcentral.